Molecule: ribosomal RNA, 426 nt
Filed under: uncultured prokaryote
Description: bacterial SSU rRNA
Rfam family: Bacterial small subunit ribosomal RNA
Source: RNAcentral
UGGGGAAUUUUCCGCAAUGGGGGGAACCCUGACGGAGCAACGCCGCGUGCGGGAGGAGGGCCUGUGGGUUGUAAACCGCUUUUCUCUAGGAAGAAGGUCUGACGGUACUAGAGGAAUCAGCAUCGGCUAACUCCGUGCCAGCAGCCGCGGUAAGACGGAGGAUGCAAGCGUUAUCCGGAUUUAUUGGGCGUAAAGCGUCCGUAGGCGGUUUAUCAAGUCAGUUGUUAAAGACUGCAGCUCAACUGUGGGCGAGCAACUGUAACUGAUGAACUAGAGUGCGUUAGGGGUAGAGGGAAAUCCCAGUGUAGCGGUGAAAUGGGUAGAUAUUUGGAAGAACACCAGUGGCGAAGGCGCUCUACUGGGCCGCAACUGACGCUGAGGGACGAAAGCUAGGGGAGCGAAAGGGAUUAGAUACCCCCGUAGUCC